RNAcentral lists this long non-coding RNA (1134 nucleotides) under Oncorhynchus kisutch (coho salmon). Its description in RNAcentral is "lncRNA (ENSOKIG00005047478.1)". Lineage: Eukaryota; Metazoa; Chordata; Actinopteri; Salmoniformes; Salmonidae. The record is from RNAcentral.
AUGUGGUGGGUUGUAGUGUUGUGUGGUGGGUUGUGGUGUUGUGUGGUGUUGUGUGGUGGGAUGUGGUGUUGUGUGGUGGGUUGUAGUGUUGUGUGGUGGGUUGUGGUAUUGUGUGGUGGAUUGUGGUGUUAUGUGGUGUGUUGUGGUGUUGUGUGGUGGGUUGUGGUGUUGUGUGGUGUUGUGUGGUGGGUUGUGGUGUUGUGUGGUGGAUUGUGGUGUUAUGUGGUGUGUUGUGGUGUUGUGUGGUGGGUUGUGGUGUUAUGUGGUGGGUUGUGGUGUUGUGUGGUGGGUUGUGGUGUUAUGUGGUGGUUUGUGGUGUUGUGUGGUGGGUUGUGGUGUUAUGUGGUGUGUUGUGGUGUUGUGUGGUGGGUUGUGGUGUUAUGUGGUGGGUUGUGGUGUUGUGUGGUGGGUUGUGGUGUUAUGUGGUGGGUUGUGGUGUUGUGUGGGGUGGGUUGUGGUGUUGUGUGGUGGGUUGUGGUGUUAUGUGGUGGGUUGUGGUAUUGUGUGGUGGGUUGUGGUGGUUUGUGGUGGGUUGUGGUGUUGUGUGGUGUUGUGGGUUGUGGUGUUGUGUGGUGGGUUGUGAGGUUGUGUGGUGGGUUGUGGUGUUGUGUGGUGUUGUGUGGUGGGUUGUGGUGUUGUGUGGUGUUGUGUGGUGGGUUGUGGUGUUGUGUGGUGGGUUGUAGUGUUGUGUGGUGGUUUGAUGGUGUUGUGUGGUGGGUUGUGGUGUUGUGUGGUGUGUUGUGGUGUUGUGUGGUGUUAUGUGGUGGAUUGUGGUGUUAUGUGGUGUGUUGUGGUGUUGUGUGGUGGGUUGUGGUGUUAUGUGGUGGGUUGUGGUGUUGUGUGGUGGGUUGUGGUGGUUUGUGGUGUGUUGUGGUGUUGUGUGGUGGGUUGUGGUGGUUUGUGGUGUUGUGUGGUGGGUUGUGGUGUUGUGUGGUGGGUUGUAGUGUUAUGUGGUGUGUUGUGGUGUUGUGUGGUGGGUUGUGGUGUUAUGUGGUGGGUUGUGGUGUUGUGUGGUGGGUUGUGGUGGGUUGUGGUGUUAUGUGGUGGGUUGUGGUGUUGUGUGGUGGGUUGUGGUGUUAUGUGGUGGGUUGUGGUGUUGUGUGGUGGGUUGUGGUGUUGUGUGGUGGGUUGUAG